CAAACUGAACAUGUGUAAAAACUUUUUAAAAAAAAAACAAAACUCGUAACGGUGGAUGUCUUGGCUCCCACAUCGAUGAAGAACGCAGCAAAAUGCGAAACGUAAUGCGAAUUGCAGAAUCCGUGAAUCAUCAAAUCUUUGAACGCAAGUUGCGCU
Molecule: ribosomal RNA, 156 nt
Filed under: Pachymenia lusoria
Lineage: Eukaryota; Rhodophyta; Florideophyceae; Halymeniales; Halymeniaceae
Description: 5.8S ribosomal RNA
Rfam family: 5.8S ribosomal RNA (bases 41-156)
About the family: 5.8S ribosomal RNA (5.8S rRNA) is a component of the large subunit of the eukaryotic ribosome.
Source: RNAcentral